RNAcentral lists this long non-coding RNA (631 nucleotides) under Marmota monax (woodchuck). Lineage: Eukaryota; Metazoa; Chordata; Mammalia; Rodentia; Sciuridae. The record is from RNAcentral.
CACAGUUUUCCCUUGAAUUUUCAAAAGGACAACAUUUGUGCAUUUGUUGUAGCCCCUUUUCUGCUAGCAAGGCUCCUCUGGUUUCCUUAGUCAAUUUUAGGAAAAAACCUUCAGUGCAAAACAGACUGAGAAAUACUUGCCAAGAAGGCAGCUGGAAAAUCCCUAGGUUUGUCUAUUGUGUUGCUAGAACCCUACCCCCCUUCUGCCUCCAUGACACGCAUAUUAAUUCAGGUGCUCUGGAGACGUCUUCAGAUUUGGAAAACCACAACUUGCUCCUAGAAUCUUGGACUUAAACCUCGUUCUGCACAGCAUAUGACAAGGAUGAGUCGCCCUAUUCUAACCAGUUAAAGUUGGACAGAAGUUUUAAAAAGCAGUGGAGCCAGUUCCUUGGAUUGUAUCCAGGGUUUUAGCUUUGGGAAGGAAUUGAGUCUUUAGUAGGAAGGCAAAGACAAGAUCCAAGUGAAGCCUGGCCUGGGAGUAUCCCAAGAACUAAGAUGAAGAUUGACUAACUUAACAAUCAAGUUUUCAGUAAGUACAACUCUUUCUCAGUACAUGUAGUUUAUAAAUAGUUGUUACACUUUAUUAUUUGGGAACUAAUGACAAGGAAAAAUCUGAACAUGAUCAGUACAAA